This 433-nucleotide ribosomal RNA is filed under the name uncultured bacterium. RNAcentral describes it as "partial 16S ribosomal RNA". It matches the Rfam family "Bacterial small subunit ribosomal RNA", at positions 29 to 507 of the family's 1533-position model. The record is from RNAcentral.
AACGAACGCUGGCGGCAUGCCUAACACAUGCCAGUCGAACGAUGCCUCCGGGCAUAGUGGCGCACGGGUGCGUAACGCGUGGGAAUCUGCCCUUGGGUUCGGAAUAACUCGCCGAAAGGCGAGCUAAUACCGGAUGAUGACGUAAGUCCAAAGAUUUAUCGCCCAAGGAUGAGCCCGCGUAGGAUUAGCUAGUUGGUGGGGUAAAGGCCCACCAAGGCGCCGAUCCUUAGCUGGUCUGAGAGGAUGAUCAGCCACACUGGGACUGAGACACGGCCCAGACUCCUACGGGAGGCAGCAGUGGGGAAUAGUGGACAAUGGGCGAAAGCCUGAUCCAGCAAUGCCGCGUGAGUGAUGAAGGCCGUAGGGUUGUAAAGCUCUUUUAACCGGGAUGAUAAUGACAGUACCGGGAGAAUAAGCGCCGGCUAACUCCGUG